AUCCACCUUGGCCGAUGCGCUGUCCAAUGUAGUCGUGCUGGACGAGUUGCCGUUGCCGACUCGACAAGCUUCCAUCGAAGCGGAGCCUUGUUCCGUUCUGUUUCAGACCAGUUUCGAAACUACAAUUUCGAGGAUCGCAGAGUUCGUAACCGGAAUUGUAAAUUCAUCAAGAACGACGAACUUUAAUUUGAAUCAACUUUGGACGAAGGAAAAAAAGAUGCCUUUAUGUAUGCACCUGGCGGUGCUGCUCCCGAGCAAAACGCUGUCAAAAUCCAACGACCAACCUAAACGGGUGAAAAGGUAAACAAACUUAUUUUGUACUCCCAGCGGAAGGCAGUCGAAGCCUUUUCCGGGGAAGUUGAAAUUCUGACUCCCGGUAAAUUUACGAAUCGCGUUUAAGAACGAUAACAGUACCUACUAGCGAAUAGCCCAAUUCCUCAAAUUAAUGUUCGUGGGCAAUCAGAAUGAACCAACGAGAAAAUCAUCAGCUUAUCUGGAGGUGGUGCUGUUCUUUAGUGAUAUGCGAAUUCCCUAAUUCCAUGCAAGUGGCUGCUAUCCAGCGCCCAAGUGAUCGAUCCCCAGGCGUAUCUGAUUCGUAUCACCAUUCGGAAGGACCACGUGAAGUACAUCAACGAAUUUUCCCGGCGGAAUGUGAAAAGUACCUAUUAGGCUGACUUUUGGAACGCUGACCAGAAUCAGGACUGCUGAGUGGCUGGAAAAUCCACACAUCAUUGACAAUAGCCAGGUUUACAUGAAAAAAAUGUUUCAAGAUGAGUUGAAAUUUCAUCUUUAGAAGCCGUGACAAUUCAAGGUAUAUUCCGAGUCUUAGACGGAUAAUUCUUUCCUUUUGCCCAAUCAUACUUGGUGGCUUGCUUGCCUUUUUUCCUUUGAAUCCGCUGCUCAAAAAAUGUCAGGAACCUUGGCAGGAAACAGACAUCUGGGCCCAGAGAAGGCGAGCAAAACUAAUUUUUGUUACACGACGUGAAAAGGAACAGUUUUUGAAUAACAUGACCGAGUACUACCAACGGAAAGACUUCUCCGAGGGCAAGGGAUUCAUAUUUCGAAUGUUUACGGAUGCUUCACAUCAUGCCGGAGAGGAUUUCUAAGAAAAGCCGGUUAAUGGUCACCUUGCAGAAAUGUUGCAUGUUUUUUUCUAGACGAAAUUUACUGUUGCCCACAGUCUGGUCAUGAUUAUCUAACGGACUUCAAUCUGUACUACCAUGUGCUGGAAAAAAAGAACGGCCGAGGAAAGCUCCAACUGCUGGCACAUCUGUCAAAGUUACGAAACAUGAGCUGUACAAUUUAUAAGUUUUCCGUUUAGGAUACGGAGGAAAUUCAACCCAGUUAAUGCAACGGGACGUCAAAGUUCAUUCGUAUCAUACAGCGGAGAAAAACAUGCCAGUUUUGACCAUUGCUUUCGGAAUAUGUAUUGAUAAACCGGAUGUGCGAUUUGUUACUCUUCAUUAUUAAUUUAGAGGUUUCGGACACGGUCUGGAAAGAGGUGUUGUUCGGUCGAGAGCAGGAAUCGAAAGAGACCCUUUUUUAUUCAUGUGUUUGACACGUACUUAAACAUUUGACGUUUCGUCUUUUAUAGCACA
This is a long non-coding RNA of Uranotaenia lowii, 1598 nucleotides long. RefSeq lists it as uncharacterized. NCBI's taxonomy places the organism in Eukaryota, Metazoa, Arthropoda, Insecta, Diptera, Culicidae. The record is from RefSeq and is a predicted model, not a curated record. The transcript is spliced from 3 exons.